AUGGGUGCUGACCGACCACCUGAACUGGAGUGGCAUGAGAGGGGCAUCCCCAGGGUGCAGGGAGUUCUGAUUUACACAGCUGGGGUUCUCGGCUGGCAGCAGGAAGAAAGUGCUCAAGAGCAAAGUCUCGAGACUGCCUGCAGCUGCGCUGCUGUGCAGGUGGCAGCUGCACAGGGGGAUGCAGGCCCCGUGUCAGUUCCGGCUGGGCUGACUUCUAGAGCUCUGUCUUCAGACCUGCGUGCCACACUGCAGAUGGACCAUGAGGAACUGGGGCUUUUGCAAGAGGACAAACAGGAUGAGGCUGAGAUCAGGAAACCACAUCGUGCUAGGAAUAAAAGCAGGAACCAGAACCCGGGAGAAGGAAAAGCUUCGGGAGUUGUAACAGUAGACCAUCUGGUUGUGCUGUAUAGCAAAAGGGGCAAACACAAGGAGGCAGAGCCACUGUGCCAGCGAGCACUGGAGAUUUGAGAGAAGGUCCUGGUCACUGAUCACCCAGAUGUAGCAAAGCAGCGAAACAUCUUGGUCCUGUUGUGCUAAAACCAGGGCAAGUAUGAGGUGGUGGAAUGCUAUUACCAGCGGGCACUGGCCAUCUAUGAGGGGCAGUUGGGGCCAGACAACCCGAAUGUGGCUCAGACCAAGAGUAAUCUGGCUUCCUGUUACCUGAAGCAGGGCAAGUAUGCGGAGGUGGAGACCCUGUCCAAGGACAUCCUGACCUGAGCACAUGUGAGGAGUUUGGGUCUGUGGAUGAUGACCACAAGCCCAUCUGGAUGCAUGCAGAGGAGUGGGCAGAAAUGAGCUGGAGUUGGCAACAUGAAGAUGCUGCACCCUAUACUGAGUACAGAGGCUGGUACAAGGCUUACAAAGUGAGCAGCUCCACGGCGAAUACCACCCUGAGAAACCUUGGAGCUCUGUAUAGGUGCCAGGGAAAGCUGGAGGCAGCUGAGACCCUGGAGGAGUGUGCCCUGCGUUCCCAGAAGCAGGGCACAGACCCUAUCAGCCAAACCAAGGUAGCAGAGUUGCCUGGGGAAGGAGAUGGGAAAAGGACUUCCCAGAGGGGCCUGGGGACAGCGUGAAAUUUGAUGGCGGUGACGAGGCUGCUGUGGCUGUGGAGUGGUCAGGGGAUGGCAGUGGGACUCUGCAGAGGAACAACUCUCUGGGCAAGAUCUGAGAUGUGCUCUGCAGAAGCAGUGAGCUCCUGGUGCACAAGUUCCAGGGGACUGAGCCUCGGUCCUCUAGAAGCAACAUGAAGCAGGCAGCCUUCUUGAACUACCUGAAGCAACCCAGUGCUGCACCCCUCCAGGUAUCUCAGGGCCUCAGUGCCAGCACCAUGGACCUUUCUUCAAGCAGCUGA
Octodon degus (degu) is the source of this 1351-nucleotide RNA transcript. It is a transcript of the gene named kinesin light chain 4-like, with no coding region annotated. Lineage: Eukaryota; Metazoa; Chordata; Mammalia; Rodentia; Octodontidae. The transcript has 2 exons. The record is from RefSeq and is a predicted model, not a curated record.